UUUGAUCCUGGCUCAGAUUGAACGCUGGCGGCAGGCCUAACACAUGCAAGUCGAGCGGCAGCACAGAGGAACUUGUUCCUUGGGUGGCGAGCGGCGGACGGGUGAGUAAUGCCUGGGAAAUUGCCCUGAUGUGGGGGAUAACCAUUGGAAACGAUGGCUAAUACCGCAUGAUGCCUACGGGCCAAAGAGGGGGACCUUCGGGCCUCUCGCGUCAGGAUAUGCCCAGGUGGGAUUAGCUAGUUGGUGAGGUAAUGGCUCACCAAGGCGACGAUCCCUAGCUGGUCUGAGAGGAUGAUCAGCCACACUGGAACUGAGACACGGUCCAGACUCCUACGGGAGGCAGCAGUGGGGAAUAUUGCACAAUGGGCGCAAGCCUGAUGCAGCCAUGCCGCGUGUAUGAAGAAGGCCUUCGGGUUGUAAAGUACUUUCAGUCGUGAGGAAGGUUGUAGUGUGAAUAGCACUAUGAUUUGACGUUAGCGACAGAAGAAGCACCGGCUAACUCCUG
Molecule: ribosomal RNA, 505 nt
Filed under: Vibrio sp. AER No.16
Lineage: Bacteria; Pseudomonadati; Pseudomonadota; Gammaproteobacteria; Vibrionales; Vibrionaceae
Description: bacterial SSU rRNA
Rfam family: Bacterial small subunit ribosomal RNA
Source: RNAcentral